Molecule: ribosomal RNA, 253 nt
Filed under: uncultured bacterium
Lineage: Bacteria
Description: partial 16S ribosomal RNA
Rfam family: Bacterial small subunit ribosomal RNA
Source: RNAcentral
GACAGAGGGGGCAAGCGUUGCUCGGAAUUACUGGGCGUAAAGGGCGCGUAGGCGGGAUGGCAAGUCGGUCGUGAAAUCCCUCGGCUCAACUGAGGAUCGUCGAUCGAUACUGCCGUUCUUGAGGAUUGCAGAGGAGACUGGAAUUCCCGGUGUAGCGGUGAAAUGUGUAGAGAUCGGGAGGAACACCGGUGGCGAAGGCGGGUCUCUGGGCAAUUCCUGGCGCUGAGGCGCGAAAGCGUGGGGAGCAAACGGG